GAAAGAAUGCCCUGCUUGGAGCUAAUCAAAAAUAUGAAGAAAUAAUCUUCAGCAAGCCGGAUGAAAUGCCAUUUGAAAAGGAGCAUGCUUCUAAUGUCCCUGAGAACAACCUCGAGAGUGAGAAAAAUCUCAGUCAUCUUGACAAGAUCCACAUUUGUCAGCAGUCCUUUGAACACAAUGGGAAAGAGAAAACUUUCAGCGGGAAGAAGAUAGUCCUUAUGUGUGAGCAAGUUUAUAGCAAAGACCCAUGUAAUCAGCAACCUGUCAGUGUGGGAGAAGCAAUUCAUGUUGGCUACUAUAAAUCUUGCCUUAGCACCAAACUGAGAACUGACACAGGAGAAAAUUUGUAUGUGUCCAAUGAAUGUAAAGAAAACAUGUAC
Ochotona curzoniae (black-lipped pika) is the source of this 380-nucleotide long non-coding RNA. RefSeq lists it as uncharacterized. The transcript has 2 exons. Lineage: Eukaryota; Metazoa; Chordata; Mammalia; Lagomorpha; Ochotonidae. The record is from RefSeq and is a predicted model, not a curated record.